GGGUGAGUAACGCGUGAGUAACCUGCCUUUCAGAGGGGGAUAACGUUCUGAAAAGAACGCUAAUACCGCAUAAGAUUGUAGUUUCGCAUGGAGCAGCAAUCAAAGGAGCAAUCCGCUGAAAGAUGGACUCGCGUCCGAUUAGAUAGUUGGCGGGGUAACGGCCCACCAAGUCGACGAUCGGUAGCCGGACUGAGAGGUUGAUCGGCCACAUUGGGACUGAGACACGGCCCAG
Molecule: ribosomal RNA, 232 nt
Filed under: uncultured Bacillota bacterium
Lineage: Bacteria; Bacillati; Bacillota
Description: uncultured Firmicutes bacterium partial 16S ribosomal RNA
Rfam family: Bacterial small subunit ribosomal RNA
Source: RNAcentral